GAUGAACGCUGGCGGCGUGCCUAAUACAUGCAAGUCGAGCGAACAGACGAGGAGCUUGCUCCUCUGACGUUAGCGGCGGACGGGUGAGUAACACGUGGAUAACCUACCUAUAAGACUGGGAUAACUUCGGGAAACCGGAGCUAAUACCGGAUAAUAUAUUGAACCGCAUGGUUCAAUAGUGAAAGACGGUUUUGCUGUCACUUAUAGAUGGAUCCGCGCCGCAUUAGCUAGUUGGUAAGGUAACGGCUUACCAAGGCAACGAUGCGUAGCCGACCUGAGAGGGUGGUAGGCCACAGGGGGACUGAGACAGCGCCAAGGCGCCGAGGGGAGGGAGCAGGCGGGAAUGUUCGGCAAUGGGCGGAAGCAUGACGGAGCAACGGGGAGUGAGAGACGAAGGUGUCAGGAUCGUAAUGCUCUGUUGUGAGGGAAGAAUAGAUAGGUACUAAACAGAAGUGUAAGUGACGGUAACUAAUAAGAAAGCCACGGCUAACUACGUG
Molecule: ribosomal RNA, 497 nt
Filed under: uncultured bacterium
Lineage: Bacteria
Description: partial 16S ribosomal RNA
Rfam family: Bacterial small subunit ribosomal RNA
Source: RNAcentral